UGGGGAAUAUUGCGCAAUGGGCGAAAGCCUGACGCAGCGACGCCGCGUGAGGGAUGAAGGUUUUCGGAUCGUAAACCUCUGUCAGAAGGGAAGAAACCGCACUGUGCUAAUCAGCAGUGCCUUGACGGUACCUUCAAAGGAAGCACCGGCUAACUCCGUGCCAGCAGCCGCGGUAAUACGGAGGGUGCAAGCGUUAAUCGGAAUUACUGGGCGUAAAGCGCACGUAGGCUGCUUUGUAAGUCAGGGGUGAAAUCCCACGGCUCAACCGUGGAACUGCCUUUGAUACUGCUUAGCUUGAAUCCGGGAGAGGGUGGCGGAAUUCCAGGUGUAGGAGUGAAGUCCGUAGAUAUCUGGAGGAACAUCAGUGGCGAAGGCGGCCACCUGGACCGGUAUUGACGCUGAGGUGCGAAAGCGUGGGGAGCAAACAGG
RNAcentral lists this ribosomal RNA (429 nucleotides) under Fusobacteriota bacterium. Its description in RNAcentral is "Fusobacteria bacterium partial 16S ribosomal RNA". It matches the Rfam family "Bacterial small subunit ribosomal RNA", at positions 355 to 776 of the family's 1533-position model. The record is from RNAcentral. Lineage: Bacteria; Fusobacteriati; Fusobacteriota.